This is a long non-coding RNA of Drosophila navojoa, 149 nucleotides long. Lineage: Eukaryota; Metazoa; Arthropoda; Insecta; Diptera; Drosophilidae. The record is from RefSeq and is a predicted model, not a curated record.
CAGGUAUUCGCUGACUGGAGCAGAGGCAGCACCCUGGACUGGGGGCAGAUAUUGUUGGAGAGCUCGCUCACAUCACGACGGUGGCGACGGUAGACAACACGGCGGUUGGUCUUGUAACGGUAACCAUCAUCGGCCAACUCAUGGGCAGG